GAACAUAAGUUAGUUCUCUUUCAUACGGUUGGAUGUCACACUCAUUCUAGGGUUUAACGAGCUUGAUCCAUUCUACACCACAUAUCCAUCUUGGGGCUUUUGAAUUCUCCUUUUCAAAUGAUUUCUAGGUUUCACACGGAGAAAUUCUUGUGAAGAAAGCCUAUCAUUUUCCUGGGCGACCAUCUUUAUCUACCGUACAUCCAGGAGUGCAACUCCACCCAUAAAUGAAGCGGCCAUGAACGAUCUUUACCCAUAAUUCAUUUCCAUAUAUGGGAUCGGAGUUUCUUAAUGGCAUUGUAUCUCUGCCACACACACAUAUCCAUCAACCAGUCACGCAUCACUACAUUUUCUAAGGAACCCCUUUUGUGCUUUCGUCUCUUGGAAGGCAAAUACUCUCUUGAAUACUUGCUACUUCCCAUGUUUUAUUUA
This 429-nucleotide long non-coding RNA is filed under the name Vitis vinifera (wine grape). Its description in RNAcentral is "long non-coding RNA (VVIN_LNC001996)". Lineage: Eukaryota; Viridiplantae; Streptophyta; Magnoliopsida; Vitales; Vitaceae. The record is from RNAcentral.